This 236-nucleotide ribosomal RNA is filed under the name uncultured Staphylococcus sp. RNAcentral's name for it is "partial 16S ribosomal RNA". It matches the Rfam family "Bacterial small subunit ribosomal RNA", at positions 104 to 334 of the family's 1533-position model. Lineage: Bacteria; Bacillati; Bacillota; Bacilli; Caryophanales; Staphylococcaceae. The record is from RNAcentral.
GGGUGAGUAACACGUGGAUAGCCUACCUAUAAGACUGGGAUAACUUCGGGAAACCGGAGCUAAUACCGGAUAAUAUAUUGAACCGCAUGGUUCAAUAGUGAAAGACGGUUUUGCUGUCACUUAUAGAUGGAUCCGCGCCGCAUUAGCUAGUUGGUAAGGUAACGGCUUACCAAGGCAACGAUGCGUAGCCGACCUGAGAGGGUGAUCGGCCACACUGGAACUGAGACACGGUCCAG